CUUUCCUCUUUGUUUUUCACCUUCCUUGCUGUGCGAUUUUCUCCCUCUUCAUCGUUCCCUCUUUUGCUGCCAAAUCUUUGCUCUUUCUUCGCAGAAUAGUCGUUAGAAGAGAUCCUGACUUUAAUUUUAUUUUGGAUUUGGUUUCGGGUCUUCUCCGGUGUGCAACCCUUUGUUUGAUUUUAUUGGGUGUUUUGUUUCCGGUCUUCUCCGGUGACGAACCCUUUGUUGGCCAGCGUUUUGUUCUCAUCAGGUGCUUUGGCCGACGGACUCACUUGCCCAGUGGCGAAAGGGAGUUGUAGCUGGUGCUGAAAUUAGAGAUUCCGGUGCCGGGUCGUCGACAAGUUCGAUCAUCGCUGCCACCAGUUCACGCAGGCCUCAUCUCUAAGCUUUGGGAUCUGUAGACUGCUACAACUGCAGAGGCCAGGUCAAACGCCGCAGCAGCCUCGCUCCGUUUUCCAAAAUCCUCUUCACUUAGGCACUAUGAGUAUAAACUAAUGAACAAAGGUGAAGGCGAUAUCUAUUUAUACGGUUGGAGUUCAGAGUGAAAGUUUACUUUGAUGCUAAUAGGUUGGAUCACCAGGUGAAAUUUUCAUUUUGAGAUGUAGAUAUACGUUCGCUGCUUGCAUAUAAAUUACUUUGUUUACCUGCAACCACUUGCUUGAUUGCCCUGUUGUUUUGGCUGCUUACUCAACCUUUUUAUACGUAGGAGAGAUUUGAGUUUUAUCAUUACAACUAAAUGUCCAUAGACACAUGAUACAGAUUGAAGCAAAUGUCAAAUUUAAAAUGGUAUGAAUCAGGACAGCUGCAAACUGUGAUUUGCGGACCUAAAACGGAAAAGUAACUUCGCGCUUCACUUCGGCAGCAUAAUCCAGCUUUCGAGUUCAGUUUUCAGUUGCUGACAGAAUGGAUAGGAUGCCAAAAAGAAAGGUGGCAUGAGGAAUAAUGGCUUUUUUGAGAGAAUUAGAGUUUGAUCUCUUCAUUUGGGUUGUGCAUAUUUCCUUUGAAUUAAUUUGGGUUGUGAGGAAGUGAAUAAUUAUUUGAAUUAAUUAAUUUCUCUUGAGUUGUGCAAAUUUCCUUUGAAUUAAUUUGGGUUGUGUUUGAGCAUUGUAUAGGCAUGAACGUGGGUAAAGAGUACGUGGAUAAAGGGAAGAGAAAAUGCUGUGAUCAUCCACCUCAAUCAAUUUAUUGAGGUAUUUUUUGUACCUUUUUUCUGUUUAAAAUUAUAUGUUUUUAAUCUUUUAGGAGUAUAUCAUCGAGGAUUUGCCACAAAUUUAUGAGAAUUUCAUUUCAUCCAAACAAUGGGCGUUGAAAUGUUAGUGCCUCUUUAUUCAAAAUUUUCUUUAUUUGAAUAUUAUAUGUUUAGAAGUGUAAAUUUGUACUAUUGAAUCUUCACUCCAAUUUUAUAUUUCAUUUUUUUGUGACUUUCUGCAGAACUUGGAAUCAGCUUUUCACAUAACAUGGAUGAUAAAUAUAAGAAACUCAUACACAUAAUUACUCCACCAAGGUAUAUUGUACAGAUUUAUACCACCUGGCAAUCAACAACUAAUUUUACUUCCAAGAAGGCAAGACAAACAUAUGGCAUGUCACAGUGGUAUAUUUUUCACUAACAUAUGGUAAAAUUGUACACAUCACAUUAGGCAAGUUUCAAUCUUUUUUGCUUCCAUUGUAACACAUUUCUAAUUAACAUUUCGUACUAAAUUUUGAUUAAACUUUAUUUAAAUGUUUGAUUUCAGAAUUUCACAAGUCGUACCACCUCAAUAAUAAGAAAAAAAAUACAUUUGAUCUCCGGUUAUAAGUUGUAUUCACAACUGUCCAAGAGAGUGCAGCAAAAGGUCAAUUUUUCCUUGGAAGCACCUCAAGCUGGGAGCAAAUCUGAUAUGAGAAUGUAAUUGUGGUGGAGAAUAUAGAGAAGAUGGUAGGAUCUUAUUUUCCAACAGAUAAGGGCAGUUUUUGGUUUUGGCAUUUAAGAUAUUUAAUUAGGGUUUCUCUUGCAAUUGUAGAAUUUGUUAAUUUUGGAAGCAUGAAUUAAAUGUUUGGGAUUAACUUACAAUGCUUCCUAUCAAAACCAAUCAAAACCAUUUUCUGAAUCUAAUGUUACAAUGUUGUGCACUCUCAUUGAUAAGCAGAUUUUCAUUAUGAUGAAUUUUCAGUCUUUCUCAAAAUCUCCAUAACUAAAAUUCAUGUGGCAUUCGGUGUGAAUUUUGUCGGAUUUGUCUCAUUGCAUUGUAUUGAUUUCUUGUAUUGUUACCAUGCCCAUCAAUUUUUCCUUUUUAUUCCUAACUGUUUUCACUUUCAAGGAAAAGAGGUUUCUUGUUUGAUGCCUUGCAGGAAAGCUGUGGUUUUGACAAUUAGGGCAAAUAAACGUCACUUAUGAAGAGGAUGAUUGCACCAUCCACCAAGUUGGAAAAGGAGGUGAAUCUUUGAUAUGGCAGAUCUGGAACUUUUACGUAUUGAUUUUAACCAACUCCUUUUUAGGUGUAAUUUUGGACUUAUUUUGUUUUGAAGUCGACUAUAUUUGUUUUAGCUUCUGAUGAGGUGCAAGGCUUGCUAGGGAAGAUGCAUUUGUCCAAAAAUGUCUGCUUUCAAGUUCUUUUUGCAUUAGAGAUGAAAUAUGUAACAUUACAAUAUAUGUUUCUGAGAUUGAGAAUGUGUUGUAGGCUUUCUACA
This is a long non-coding RNA of Pyrus x bretschneideri (Chinese white pear), 2667 nucleotides long. RefSeq lists it as uncharacterized. NCBI's taxonomy places the organism in Eukaryota, Viridiplantae, Streptophyta, Magnoliopsida, Rosales, Rosaceae. The transcript is spliced from 7 exons. The record is from RefSeq and is a predicted model, not a curated record.